Molecule: ribosomal RNA, 465 nt
Filed under: Vreelandella stevensii
Lineage: Bacteria; Pseudomonadati; Pseudomonadota; Gammaproteobacteria; Oceanospirillales; Halomonadaceae
Description: partial 16S ribosomal RNA
Rfam family: Bacterial small subunit ribosomal RNA
Source: RNAcentral
CCUACGGGGGACAGCAGUGGGGAAUAUUGGACAAUGGGGGCAACCCUGAUCCAGCCAUGCCGCGUGUGUGAAGAAGGCCCUCGGGUUGUAAAGCACUUUCAGUGAGGAAGAACGCCUGGUGGUUAAUACCCAUCAGGAAAGACAUCACUCACAGAAGAAGCACCGGCUAACUCCGUGCCAGCAGCCGCGGUAAUACGGAGGGUGCGAGCGUUAAUCGGAAUUACUGGGCGUAAAGCGCGCGUAGGUGGCUUGAUAAGCCGGUUGUGAAAGCCCCGGGCUCAACCUGGGAACGGCAUCCGGAACUGGCAAGCUAGAGUGCAGGAGAGGAAGGUAGAAUUCCCGGUGUAGCGGUGAAAUGCGUAGAGAUCGGGAGGAAUACCAGUGGCGAAGGCGGCCUUCUGGACUGACACUGACACUGAGGUGCGAAAGCGUGGGUAGCAAACAGGAUUAGAUACCCUGGUAGUC